RNAcentral lists this non-coding RNA (28 nucleotides) under Mus musculus (house mouse). The record is from RNAcentral. Lineage: Eukaryota; Metazoa; Chordata; Mammalia; Rodentia; Muridae.
UGGAAGCCACUGAAAAAAUAAUGUGACU